CUCCAGGCGCGCCCAGCAACGCUCUGACGGGCUGGGAGUGAAGGGGGGUAUGUUGACAAGCGACGCUGAAAUCGGCAGACGGCUCUGAGCUGUGGUGUAGUGAGGAGCUCCGUUAACGCGAACCUCUACGCUCGACCCACGUCACGGAACGCGAUGCCGAAGUUUUUGGAGCAGCGUUAUUCCAUCAAAUUUGCGUGGCACAAGAUGUUCGUGGAGGGCAGAGAAGAGGUCGACGACGAACCACGGCCUGGACGCCCAUCAACGACACUCACCGACGAAAAUGUGCAAAAAAUUCGCGAUAAACUGAACUCUGAUCGUCGUCUUAGUGUUCGGAUGAUAGCAGAGGAGUGUAAUAUGCCAAAAACAAUAGUGCACGAGAUUAUUAGGGACCAAUUAGGCAUGCGUCUCACACCGCGCUUGUCGUGUCGGAGUUCUUGACCAAGCACGGCGUGGUAACGCUGCCGCACCCGCCCUACAGCCCGGACUUGGCACCACCGGACUUCUUUCUGUUCCCCAAGAUAAAGAGGAGUUUGAAAGGAACGCGUUACGGGACUUUGGACGCCGUCAAAGAGGCCGUGACGACGUGUCUUCGAGAGGUCCCCGAUGAUGCCUUCGCGAGAGCGUUCCAGGAAUGGGAACGCCGCUGGGACAAGUGUAUCGAUUCACAAGGGUCCUAUUUUGAGGAAUAUUAGCUUAAAGUAUGGAAAAGUACAAUAAAUUUUUUUUCCCGA
Nylanderia fulva is the source of this 731-nucleotide non-coding RNA. The record is from RefSeq and is a predicted model, not a curated record. Lineage: Eukaryota; Metazoa; Arthropoda; Insecta; Hymenoptera; Formicidae.